RNAcentral lists this long non-coding RNA (1645 nucleotides) under Mus musculus (house mouse). Its description in RNAcentral is "predicted gene, 46764 (Gm46764)". The record is from RNAcentral. Lineage: Eukaryota; Metazoa; Chordata; Mammalia; Rodentia; Muridae.
CUUUCUUUUCUCAGAGUCGACUGGAAACUUACACCAUGGCGUGAUUAGACCGGUUAAAACUACGCGCAGACAUGAAGACACGCCUUUAAUCCCAGCAAUCAGGAGCACAUCAGCAGGACGGCAAGCAGUAACCAGGCCAUGCUACCCAGAAGAAAGGAAGCCACCCCAGCCUGCUUCUGGGCAAUCAAGAGCAAGAGCGCCCACACCUCACCCUGUCUGAGGAAGAGGUGCUUCAGCAGGUCUUCUGUGGACAUUUCACUCGACUGUAGAGUGUACGAAGUAAAUGCAAAUGAAGACGCACACGGUUACACCAGCAAAGAACACACUGUGCUCUGGGGAGAAGGGCAGAUUCGCUUCGUCUGCCGUGGUUCCAGGACACUCUUCAGAAGCGCCUGUUCACACGCUCACCCUGAAUACACGAGACUCUUCCUGACACCACCAUGGAAGCGGGCUCCCUAGAAGUCUAUAAAAUAUGAAUGGACCCAUGACCCAGAAACAACAUCUCAUGGUACACUUUUGUGGACACUUAAAAGAAGCAGUGCAGAGCUCCAAAAAUACUUCUUUCUCACUCAGGCAGGCACACCCUCACUGAGAGGGCGUCUCUCCUGUCACUUACAUGCAUAUGCAGACUGGGCCCUUUCUGGAAUGGAACCUGGCCCUCCAGCUCCUGCAGAGGCCCUUGGAGCCAAGGAGGCCCCGCAUGGGGAGAGCUAUGAGAUUCGUCAGGCCUGCGGCUUUUGUUUCUAAAACAUGCAGUGAGCAGCAUACACUGGCGUCCACAGGACCCCUGGCAGGCGCUCACUCAUAGCCCACCGGGAUGGUGACAAGCAAGAGGCCUUCACUGACAGGCCAGGGCACAGCCCGGACUGUGAUGCAUGCUGGUCCAGAGUUCAGCGGGACAUAGUGUCGCAGGGAACAUGUGGCAACCUCUAAAAUGCUCUAAGGUCCAGUCUGUGUCCAGUGAGGCUGCACCAUGCACAGACUAAGGCACUAAAGCUGCAGCAGGUGAGCAGACACCCCCUCAGAGGCCCCUGGGCUGCAUCCCGGGGAGAAGGCGCUCUGUUCCCAGUACCAUCCAAGGCCAGAAACCGCUCAAAGGAUCAGAUCACGCCAUAACAAAUCCCUGGUCCCAGCCCUUCAGAGAAGUGCUGGGCUCUCCCUCUCAGUCGCUUGCGCCAGCUUCCCAAGGUCUCCACAGCACUGUGGGCAGCUCAGCUGCUCUUCCACAGCCGCCAUCUCUUCACACUCUUCCUGCACAUCUGUCCCCCAGCAUGCCUUGACAAGGAGCAGUCCAGUUCUCUCUCUUUCCUCUGGAGCAGGACCCCGUACAUUUCCCAAGGUGGCUCUGUGCCUUCCGGUGCUUCACAGCUUGACGAACGCAGCCGGCUGCUGCGGCACCUGCUCCGUGUCCGGGGGUGGGAAGACACUGGAUAUGGCUAUGUCCACGAUGCCCUGGCACAGUUCUGCAUAGAGUUUCCUGAAAUAAGUUGUUAAAGAUGUCACUGAGGCUGUUCAUCAAAGCUGGGUAUGGUGUGUGUGUGUGUGUGUGUGUGUAUUUCAGUGACGAUCUGCCCUAGAAAUUCCUCUUUUGAAAAACUCGUCUCUGUGAAUAAAGUACCCACAAGAGGCUCUGCACACAGAUAAA